AGGACGAACGCUGGCGGCGUGCUUAACACAUGCAAGUCGAGCGGAAAGGCCCUUCGGGGUACUCGAGCGGCGAACGGGUGAGUAACACGUGAGUAAUCUGCCCCUAGCUCUGGGAUAGCUCCGGGAAACCGGGAUUAAUACCGGAUACGACCACUUUAGACAUAUGUUGUGGUGGAAAGAAUUUUGGCUAGGGAUGAGCUCGCGGCCUAUCAGCUUGUUGGUGGGUAACGGCCUACCAAGGCGACG
RNAcentral lists this ribosomal RNA (246 nucleotides) under uncultured bacterium. RNAcentral's name for it is "partial small subunit ribosomal RNA". It matches the Rfam family "Bacterial small subunit ribosomal RNA", at positions 26 to 278 of the family's 1533-position model. The record is from RNAcentral.